RNAcentral lists this transfer RNA (53 nucleotides) under Leptotrombidium deliense. RNAcentral's name for it is "tRNA-Cys". Lineage: Eukaryota; Metazoa; Arthropoda; Arachnida; Trombidiformes; Trombiculidae. The record is from RNAcentral.
GAUCAUUUAGUCUUUUAAAGAUAUUAAAUUGCAAAUUUAAAGAAACUUGAUCU